GAUGAACGCUGUCGGCGUGCCUAAUACAUGCAAGUCGAGCGAACAGAUAAGGAGCUUGCUCCUUUGACGUUAGCGGCGGACGGGUGAGUAACACGUGGGUAACCUACCUAUAAGACUGGGAUAACUUCGGGAAACCGGAGCUAAUACCGGAUAACAUUUGGAACCGCAUGGUUCUAAAGUGAAAGAUGGUUUUGCUAUCACUUAUAGAUGGACCCGCGCCGUAUUAGCUAGUUGGUAAGGUAACGGCUUACCAAGGCGACGAUACGUAGCCGACCUGAGAGGGUGAUCGGCCACACUGGAACUGAGACACGGUCCAGACUCCUACGGGAGGCAGCAGUAGGGAAUCUUCCGCAAUGGGCGAAAGCCUGACGGAGCAACGCCGCGUGAGUGAUGAAGGGUUUCGGCUCGUAAAACUCUGUUAUUAGGGAAGAACAAACGUGUAAGUAACUGUGCACGUCUUGACGGUACCUAAUCAGAAAGCCACGGCUAACUACGUGCCAGCAGCCGCGGUAAUACGUAGGUGGCAAGCGUUAUCCGGAAUUAUUGGGCGUAAAGCGCGCGUAGGCGGUUUCUUAAGUCUGAUGUGAAAGCCCACGGCUCAACCGUGGAGGGUCAUUGGAAACUGGGAAACUUGAGUGCAGAAGAGGAAAGUGGAAUUCCAUGUGUAGCGGUGAAAUGCGCAGAGAUAUGGAGGAACACCAGUGGCGAAGGCGACUUUCUGGUCUGUAACUGACGCUGAUGUGCGAAAGCGUGGGGAUCAAACAGGAUUAGAUACCCUGGUAGUCCACGCCGUAAACGAUGAGUGCUAAGUGUUAGGGGGUUUCCGCCCCUUAGUGCUGCAGCUAACGCAUUAAGCACUCCGCCUGGGGAGUACGACCGCAAGGUUGAAACUCAAAGGAAUAGACGGGGACCCGCACAAGCGGUGGAGCAUGUGGUUUAAUUCGAAGCAACGCGAAGAACCUUACCAAAUCUUGACAUCCUCUGAAAACUCUAGAGAUAGAGUUUUCCCCUUCGGGGGACAGAGUGACAGGUGGUGCAUGGUUGUCGUCAGCUCGUGUCGUGAGAUGUUGGGUUAAGUCCCGCAACGAGCGCAACCCUUAAGCUUAGUUGCCAUCAUUAAGUUGGGCACUCUAAGUUGACUGCCGGUGACAAACCGGAGGAAGGUGGGGAUGACGUCAAAUCAUCAUGCCCCUUAUGAUUUGGGCUACACACGUGCUACAAUGGACAAUACAAAGGGCAGCUAAACCGCGAGGUCAUGCAAAUCCCAUAAAGUUGUUCUCAGUUCGGAUUGUAGUCUGCAACUCGACUAUAUGAAGCUGGAAUCGCUAGUAAUCGUAGAUCAGCAUGCUACGGUGAAUACGUUCCCGGGUCU
RNAcentral lists this ribosomal RNA (1372 nucleotides) under uncultured bacterium. RNAcentral's name for it is "bacterial SSU rRNA". It matches the Rfam family "Bacterial small subunit ribosomal RNA", at positions 28 to 1381 of the family's 1533-position model. The record is from RNAcentral.